This is a non-coding RNA of Pelobates cultripes (western spadefoot toad), 205 nucleotides long. The record is from the annotation of a GenBank genome assembly. NCBI's taxonomy places the organism in Eukaryota, Metazoa, Chordata, Amphibia, Anura, Pelobatidae.
CCCCAGAGCCUGGCGGGAGGGGGUCCCUGAGGGUGGGGUAUUCAGAUAUGUGAUAAAAGUAUCUAAAUCUGCCAGUCCAAAUAAAAAAUAUAGCCUCUAUGAAACGGCGAUAGCAUACUAAGUUCGCCCCCCAGGGAUGCCCCUGAUAUACAAACUGUUCCUCCCAAUAUGCCAUGAACUUGGUGCCCAUCGCCGUUCCCCUAAU